This 460-nucleotide ribosomal RNA is filed under the name uncultured bacterium. Its description in RNAcentral is "partial 16S ribosomal RNA". It matches the Rfam family "Bacterial small subunit ribosomal RNA", at positions 338 to 795 of the family's 1533-position model. The record is from RNAcentral.
CCUACGGGAGGCAGCAGUGAGGAAUAUUGGUCAAUGGCCGGAAGGCUGAACCAGCCAUGCCGCGUGAAGGAUGACUGCCCUAUGGGUUGUAAACUUCUUUUAUAAAGGAAUAAAACGAGGCACGUGUGCCUUUUUGCAUGUACUUUAUGAAUAAGGAUCGGCUAACUCCGUGCCAGCAGCCGCGGUAAUACGGAGGAUCCGAGCGUUAUCCGGAUUUAUUGGGUUUAAAGGGAGCGUAGGUGGAUUGUUAAGUCAGUUGUGAAAGUUUGCGGCUCAACCGUAAAAUUGCAGUUGAAACUGGCAGUCUUGAGUACAGUAGAGGUGGGCGGAAUUCGUGGUGUAGCGGUGAAAUGCUUAGAUAUCACGAAGAACUCCGAUUGCGAAGGCAGUUCACUGGACUGCAACUGACACUGAGGCUCGAAAGUGUGGGUAUCAAACAGGAUUAGAUACCCCAGUAGUC